This 484-nucleotide ribosomal RNA is filed under the name uncultured bacterium. RNAcentral describes it as "partial 16S ribosomal RNA". It matches the Rfam family "Bacterial small subunit ribosomal RNA", at positions 28 to 523 of the family's 1533-position model. The record is from RNAcentral.
GACGAACGCUGGCGGCGUGCUUAACACAUGCAAGUCGAACGAUGAAGCCGGAGCUUGCUCUGGUGAAUUAGUGGCGAACGGGUGAGUAACACGUGAGUAACCUGCCCUUGACUCUGGAAUAACUGCUAGAAAUGGUAGCUAAUACCGGAUACGACCCUCGGCGGCAUCGCCAGGGGGUGGAAAGAAUUUUGGUCAAGGAUGGACUCGCGGCCUAUCAGCUAGUUGGUGGGGUAACGGCUCACCAAGGCGACGACGGGUAGCCGGCCUGAGAGGGUGACCGGCCACACUGGGACUGAGACACGGCCCAGACUCCUACGGGAGGCAGCAGUGGGGAAUAUUGCACAAUGGGCGCAGGCCUGAUGCAGCAACGCCGCGUGAGGGAUGACGGCCUUCGGGUUGUAAACCUCUUUUAGUAGGGAAGAAGCGAAAGUGACGGUACCUGCAGAAAAAGCACCGGCUAACUACGUGCCAGCAGCCGCAGUAA